CACAUCUACACACACACACACACACACACACAUCUAGACACACACACACACACACACACAUCUAGACACACACACACACACACACACAUCUAGACACACACACACACACACACACACAUCUAGACACACACACACACACACACACACAUCUAGACACACACACACACACACACACAUCUAGACACACACACACACACACACACACAUCUAGACACACACACACACACACACACACACAUCUAGACACACACACACACACACACAUCUAGACACACACACACACACACACACACACACAUCUACACACACACACACACACACACACACACACACAUCUAGACACACACACACACACACACAUCUAGACACACACACACACACACACACACAUCUAGACACACACACACAUCUAGACACACACACACAUCUAGAUACACACACACACACACACCUAGACACACACACACAUCUAGACACACACACAGAUCUAGACACACACAUCUAGACACACACACACACAUCUAGACACACACACACAUCUAGACACACAUCUAGACACACACACACAUCUGUCAUCAAAUCAAAUCAAAUGUAUUUAUAUAGCCCUUCUUACAUCAGCUGAUAUCUCAAAGUGCUGUACAGAAACCCAGCCUAAAACCCCAAACAGCAAGCAAUGCAGGUGUAGAAGCACGGUGGCUAGGAAAAUCUCCCUAGAAAGGCCAAAACCUAGGAAGAAACCUAGAGAGGAACCAGGCUAUGUGGGGUGGCCAGUCCUCUUCUGGCUGUGCCGGGUGGAGAUUAUAACAGAACAUGGCCAAGAUGUUCAAAUGUUCAUAAAUAACCAGCAGGGUCAAAUAAUAAUACUCAGUCAUACACCUAGACACACACACACCUAGACACACACAUCUGUCAUACACCUAGACACACACACCAAGACAGCGUUUAGAGGGUUGGGUCAGUAACUGAAAGGUCUCUAGUUUAAAUCCCCAAGCCGACAAGUUGGUGGGGGGGUCUGUCGACGGCACUUAACCCCAAUUGCUUUCAGUAGCCGUGACCCCACUCUCCGAGGGCGUCUCAGGGAGAGUUGGGAUAUGCAAAAAAACACAUUUCCAAUUCACACACGUGAAACACUGGUACGUGUGACAGGACUGAUAUAAAGAGACACCAAAUUAGGAUUAUUAGCUGAAGACACUCUGCACAUAUACAUACCGUUGGUGUCUGAUGAAAACCUUGUAACUCCAUUUUAUCCCAAAACAUUUGUAUUGAAUGCACUAACUCCCCUCCAAUAUAGACUGAAUAUUUCCUGACUCUACGACUAAGAACAUAUGUUUAUAAUAGCUCCUGAAGUUUGGUAAUUAUAUGUUUGUUAAAAAUAAAAACUUUUUUUUCUUUUUUCCCCCCCAUUUCUUGAAGUGUCUGUUUUGGAGAUGGGCCUACGGGGUUCUCAUCAGAAAGCUAUGAUACACACGUGUGUGUGUGUACACAUCUGAGAGUCACAAACACCCACAGCUGGAGUGUAACACACUUAACCAAACACACUUCUCACACACCUGACCAAACACACACACACACGCAGGCCCAGCUCAUACAUUGUCACACAGCCAUACAUAUACAGGUAUCAUACACAGUGGAUACAGCACACUAGGUUGGGAGUCAUAGGGGAAACCAAUAUCUCUUACUGCAUGUGUUUAUGGAUGUGGGUACGUAAACCCGCAAGGCACUGUGGCCCCUCAUGAUGAGUUGUGUUUUUAUUUUGGCCCCCCACCCCGUUAAGUUAAGUUGCCCGUCCUUGGUAUGGACUGACAGGAGACUGUGCUAGAACCUACUGUAGCUGUGCCAUAGUCUAAUAGUGGCAAACCACGUUUAUUUUGGCCCCCCACCCCGUUAAAGUUGCCCGUCCUUGGUAUGGACUGACAGGAGACUGUGCUAGAACCUACUGUAGCUGUGCCAUAGUCUAAUAGUGGCAAACCAUGUCGCUCAUGUCAUGCUGUUUGACAUCCACACACACACUUAGUCACUUUUUUUUUUUAAGCACUUUACAUUUGUCAAUCCUUUACUUGAUUUAGUCUUUAUGCAGUAUGUCACGAACCUGAAACGUCAGGAUGCUUAUAAGCUGGUUCUAAUAAGUUGUGUUCACCACUGAUUUCAGACCGUGACGGACACAUUUAACAGGGAGUUUGGAACAUCGCAGAAAACUUCUCUUGGGUUUUAAUCAGUCACGUCCCUGUCAGUCUCUGGUCUGGACGGCCAUUUUGAUCCAAUGACAACAGCACUUUGCCGUGAUCAUGUGACUUCACAGGGAUUCUGGCACUUACUGUACAAACAGACGUAAACACACACUUCCAUGAAAAAGUGGAUCUCACAUGAUCCAUAUUCACCAUUUCUUUCUCUUACCUUUUUCUCGCUCACCUUCACCUUUUUAUCUCCAUCCCUCAAAUACACCCCCCCCCCUCCUGACCCUCUCACCUAUGGGGCAUGGUGUGUGUGAACAGAGUGAUACGAGAGGGUGGCGUUAUAGAACUGGUACAGGAAGUUAAGGUCAAGUCAUAGAGGGAUUUUAAGGGAAGAUGGGUGGAAGUGAGGAUCUGAGGGUUACUGAAUAAGAACUGUGAGGUUUACAGAAUGUUCAAAGGAGAGUUCUAGAACGGUGGAGGUUGUCUGGGGGUAAACAUACUAUACACUGCAGUAUGCCAUACAGACUUUAGUACAGAACAGGUGUAGUACACUACAGUAUGCCAUACAGACUUUAGUACAGAACAGGUGUAGUACACUACAGUAUGCCAUACAGACUUUAGUACAGAACAGGUGUAGUACACUACAGUAUGCCAUACAGACUUUAGUACAGAACAGGUGUAGUACACUACAGUAUGCCAUACAGACUUUAGUACAGAACAGGUGUAGUACACUACAGUAUGCCAUACAGACUUUAGUACAGAACAGAACAGGUGUAGUACACUACAGUAUGCCAUACAGACUUUAGUACAGAACAGGUGUAGUACACUACAGUAUGCCAUACAGACUUUAGUACAGAACAGGUGUAGUACACUACAGUAUGCCAUACAGACUUUAGUACAGAACAGUACAGGUGUAGUACACUAUAGACUUUAGUACAGAACAGUACAGGUGUAGUACACUACAGUAUGCCAUACAGACUUUAGUACAGAACAGUACAGGUGUAGUACACUACAGUAUGUCAUACAGACUUUAGUACAGAACAGUACAGGUGUAGUACACAAAGUAUGCCAUACAGACUUUAGUACAGAACAGUACAGGUGUAGUACACUACAGUAUGACAUACAGACUUUAGUACAGAACAGGUGUAGUACACUACAGUAUGCCAUACAGACUUUAGUACAGAACAGUACAGGUGUAGUACACUACAGUAUGUCAUACAGACUUUAGUACAGAACAGUACAGGUGUAGUACACAAAGUAUGCCAUACAGACUUUAGUACAGAACAGUACAGGUGUAGUACACUACAGUAUGACAUACAGACUUUAGUAGAGAACAGGUGUAGUACACUACAGUAUGCCAUACAGACUUUAGUACAGAACAGUACAGGUGUAGUACACUACAGUAUGCCAUACAGACUUUAGUACAGAACAGUACAGGUGUAGUACACUACAGUAUGACAUACAGACUUUAGUACAGAACAGUACAGGUGUAGUACACUAUAGACUCUAGUACAGAACAGUACAGGUGUAGUACACUACAGUAUGACAUACAGACUUUAGUACAGAACAGUACAGGUGUAGUACACUACAGUAUGCCAAUCAGACUAUAGUACAGAACAGUACAGGUGUUGGUUUAUGACUGCUGAAUGUCCUUUUGGGUGGGUGGUGAUGCUGCUGUUGCUCCUGCACCGCCCCCUGUCGUUACCCCCCGACCCCCUCCUCAAAUAGACAGACAGACCCCUCUCUCUCUCUAUAUAUAUAUAUAUAUAUAAAGGUGGGGGGAGGUGUGGUAAAAGAAGAUAUAUAUAUAUAAAUAGUUAACAGCAAUUUCAUGUGGGAUGUAUAGGAAAUAAUGUGUUAAUAUUGUACAUUUUUAGAAUUGAAAAAAAAUCGACAUUUAAAAAUAAAUCCAAGUUGAGACCAAUUAACUGCUUGUAUUGUGAAGACACAAAUCUCUGUGAUAACUGACAUGGUCUUUAACAAUGCUUUGAAAUAAGGAAAUGAAUGAAAAAAACAUGAUCAACAACACCUUGUACAUACACACACACACACACAACGUGUGGUCCUGGAGUAGUGUUAUUAGAUUCUGUUGGGGUUCUAUCGAGUUCCGUUGGAUCCCAUUAAAUUCCGUUGGAUUCUAUUGUCUCUACUUGUUCAGACUCGCUACUGACCUGUGUACUAUUCUCCAGCUUCUCUUGUCCAAUCAUUCUUUCUGCAAAGAACCUUCAGGUCUCUCCCCAAACUGAGGAGGAUGUGCUGUACUCCUCUUCCUUUUAAUGGUUUUAAUUUGCUGUUCGGGUUUUUAUUUCUCUUAUCGAGAGAAAUGGUUGUUUUUUUAUCUACAUCGAUUGAUGUAAUUCAGUUGGUCAGAUUAUGAUGACAUCUAGAUUAUACUCUGAAUGGUCAGAUUAAAAUAAGAGAUCCACUCUGGUUCAUCCUUGGAGAGACGGGAUCUCUACGGUCUGAUCAGUAGAGUUACUGGAACCAUUCCCACGCCAUGCAAUCUGUAUUAAACUGGAUAGGUUGUGCAAAAAAAGAUGAAUGUCUUACAUAAAAGAAUAUAUACAAUUAUAGAAAAAGUGAUUUUAAAAAAUGUUUAAAAGAAAUUGAGAAAGAAUGUUUUAGGAGACAAAUGUAAUAUUUUGUUUGUAAUGACUUAUUUUGUUUGGCAGAGGGCUACUGAACAAAGAUUCCACUGUAAUAAAGUCCUUUUAGUUC
Molecule: long non-coding RNA, 4892 nt
Organism: Oncorhynchus nerka (sockeye salmon)
Lineage: Eukaryota; Metazoa; Chordata; Actinopteri; Salmoniformes; Salmonidae
Exons: 2
Source: RefSeq, a predicted model, not a curated record